This 200-nucleotide long non-coding RNA is filed under the name Elaeis guineensis (African oil palm). RNAcentral's name for it is "long non-coding RNA (EGUI_LNC054396)". Lineage: Eukaryota; Viridiplantae; Streptophyta; Magnoliopsida; Arecales; Arecaceae. The record is from RNAcentral.
UCCCAUAUCGUGAAUAAUUAUCGAUAAAAAUAAUAGAAUAAAAAUUAUCAUCCUUGGCCUGCACAUUAAAUGAGCCACACACAUCAGUGUAUUUCAGGGUAUGUAUAUCAGUGGUCCUCUUCUCAUAUCCCACAAAGGAUAAUUUGGUCAUUUUAUUUUGAAGAUAGGAUCCACAAACUAAGUAUGACUCAAAAUUCACU